CCUACGGGUGGCUGCAGUGGGGAAUAUUGCACAAUGGGGGAAACCCUGAUGCAGCGACGCCGCGUGAGCGAAGAAGUAUUUUGGUAUGGAAAACUCUAUCCGCAGGGAAGAAAAUGACGGUACCUGAAUCAGAAGCCCCGGCUAACUACGUGCCAGCAGCCGCGGUAAUACGUAGGGGGCAAGCGUUAUCCGGAUUUACUGGGUGUAAAGGGAGCGUAGACGGGGGAGUAAGCCGGAUGUGAAAGCCCGGGGCUCAACCCCGGGACUGCAUUUGAUACUGUGCGGCUAGAGUGUCGGAGAGGUAGGCGGAAUGCCUGGUGUAGCGGUGAAAUGCGUAGAUAUUAGGAGGAACACCAGUGGCGAAGGCGGCUUACUGGACAUUAACUGACGUUGAGGCUCGAAAGCGUGGGGAGCAAACAGGAUUAGAUACCCUUGUAGUC
RNAcentral lists this ribosomal RNA (440 nucleotides) under uncultured bacterium. RNAcentral's name for it is "partial 16S ribosomal RNA". It matches the Rfam family "Bacterial small subunit ribosomal RNA", at positions 338 to 795 of the family's 1533-position model. The record is from RNAcentral.